Eriocheir sinensis (Chinese mitten crab) is the source of this 234-nucleotide long non-coding RNA. RefSeq lists it as uncharacterized. The transcript is spliced from 3 exons. NCBI's taxonomy places the organism in Eukaryota, Metazoa, Arthropoda, Malacostraca, Decapoda, Varunidae. The record is from RefSeq and is a predicted model, not a curated record.
CUAGAAAUUAUGUAUCGUUACCAUCAAAUAAAAUUUACUGAUUGACAGGCUUAUCUGGAUGAGUACCAACGCAGCGCACUCAACCACCCCGACUUGUAUCAAGAGGCUUUUCUGAUGAAGACAGGGAAACAAGAAAUGCUCGGAAGGCCAACGUGACUGAGUCUAAGAAUUCUCCUACAGUCUUUGACCGCAUUCUGGAUGGCUCCAUCAAGGCUGACAUUGUGUAUGAGGAUG